Molecule: long non-coding RNA, 529 nt
Organism: Penaeus monodon (black tiger shrimp)
Lineage: Eukaryota; Metazoa; Arthropoda; Malacostraca; Decapoda; Penaeidae
Exons: 3
Source: RefSeq, a predicted model, not a curated record
GGAAAUGAAAGGCUGAAAUAUAACGAUAAAAUCACAAAUAAACUAAGUGGCAACUCAAGCUGCGGGUGUAUAAAUACCGUCACUCCGACGUUGAUCAAGGAAAGAACCAGGAGUAGCAGAACAAAGAGUAGCAGUUGAAGCUUUUCGCUAAAAUGGCGAGCUCAAAUAUGAAAGAGAGAGAUGAAAUACUUUAUCACGACCUGACCCUCACGGACAAGGUAGUCCUUGAGGGUGAGGUCGUGUCUCACACCGAAGAUAACCUGGUUUUACUGGGCGACACGUGGCCCAGUUGACUCGAGGAAGGACUCUGUUUGACUCCAAAGGGCGAUGCCAUUCCCCAUCGGCAAGGAUCCUUCGGGAAGCGGCUGCGCUGGGCCCAGUCCUGCAGCGACAUCAGCGAGUGCUGCUCUGGUUGCAGCGACGUCCGACCGCUCCCAGGAUUCUCAACAACGUCAUCGGGCUAUCACUCGGGGCGAGGGACCUCCGUGGUCAGCUCCGACGCCCCAACUGGCCCCCACCUCGAAGUCAG